UACGUAGGCGGAAGAUUAAGUCAGUGGUGAAAUCCCGCAGCUCAACUGUGGAACUGUCAUUGAUACUGGUUUUCUUGAAUUUAGUUGAGGUAGGCGGAAUGUGUAAUGUGGCGGUGAAAUGCUUAGAUAUUACACAGAACACCGAUUGCGAAGGCAGCUUACUAAACUAUGAUUGACGCUGAGGUACGAAAGCGUGGGGAGCGAACAGGAUUAGAUACCCUGGUAGUCC
Molecule: ribosomal RNA, 229 nt
Filed under: uncultured bacterium
Lineage: Bacteria
Description: partial 16S ribosomal RNA
Rfam family: Bacterial small subunit ribosomal RNA
Source: RNAcentral